GUUCACGUGCGUUGGCCUACUAGUUUUUGUCCAUGGUGUCAAUGGUGGUGGGAGUUUGUGGUGCCAGCCGGGACUGCUCGGAACUGAACUACCCAACCAUCUGAGUAUUGUUAGUGCAUAUUCAUUUGACGGGAUUCAAAGCAGUACAGCCACUGGGUGCUCUUGCUGAAAUGUUGUUAAUCUGAACUGGUCCACAUGACCAGAUGUUCACUUCAUAUACGUGUGAAGUUCGUCUCGUGGGCAAGCUCAAGGUUAGCUAGAGCCGGGUGUUGCAUAGAGGGAGAAUGGGAGUUGAUUUCUCCUUCGUGUAUUCCAUAGAGGAAAUAUAAGAUUCAUUUGACAGGAUGCAAAGCAGUACAGCUGUUGGGUGCUCUUGCUGCAAUGUUGCUGAUACGAACUGGAGUUCAUACUUAAUAUAUCGGAAAGUUCACGUCUUCCAUAUAAAAGAAGUCACAUGUUCUAUCAUUGGAGCUCGCUUUGUUUGUGUCCAAAUAUUAUUAGUGCACUAAUUCGGUCCGAGCGGUACACUCCAGUUGAUGGAACUACAACACUCACAUGCACUUGAGAAGCCCACUCGCAUCGUCCGAGCAUCUCAUGCAUAUACAACAAGGACUCCCUGAUCACAGCCAACCUGAUGAGGCAAUGCUGCAGAGGACGAGGACAUAAACGUGUUGCUAGCCCUACACUACUUCUUGAAAGUGGAUGCGGCUUAGCGGUCGCUCCAUGUCCAUGGCGUUUUCAAGCCCAAAUGUCGCGCCACGGUGGAGCAUCGCCAGGACGGGCAUGGCGCUGGCUUAGUGAAGCUCAUUGAUACUAAUUUGUGGAGUUAACUUCUCUAUUUGUGAAUUUCUUGUGUCCUGAUACUUCAAUUUAGACUAUUCCCACAAGAUGGAUUUUUAUUUGAGUCUACUAGAUGGAUUGUUUGUGAAGUUCGCUUCUGAUAUUUGCGCUGAUGGGUGGAUGACUUCUGUGUAUUAAUUAUGUGUGAAGUUCACUGUUAUGCAUCUAGGGGAGCAGUACACUUCUUUGUGAGGAAGAUGUUCAGUCACGUAUGAAAAAGUUUAUUUCUUCGGUAGGAAGUUGUGCAUUGAGUGAGCAUGUAGUGAGCAGGUGCCAGUUUAUGUGGUUUUGAAUUGCUACUUGGCUAUGCAUGA
Molecule: non-coding RNA, 1154 nt
Organism: Lolium perenne
Lineage: Eukaryota; Viridiplantae; Streptophyta; Magnoliopsida; Poales; Poaceae
Source: RefSeq, a predicted model, not a curated record